RNAcentral lists this ribosomal RNA (228 nucleotides) under uncultured bacterium. RNAcentral's name for it is "partial 16S ribosomal RNA". It matches the Rfam family "Bacterial small subunit ribosomal RNA", at positions 15 to 236 of the family's 1533-position model. The record is from RNAcentral.
GAUCAUGGCUCAGGAUGAACGCUAGCUACAGGCUUAACACAUGCAAGUCGAGGGGAAACGACAUCGAAAGCUUGCUUUUCAAAGUUAGUGGCGGACGGGUGAGUAACGCGUGGGUAACCUGCCUCAUACAGGGGAAUAGCAGCUGGAAACGGCUGAUAAAACCGCAUAAGCGCACAGUGCCGCAUGGCACAGUGUGAAAAACUCCGGUGGUAUGAGAUGGACCCGCGU